This 439-nucleotide ribosomal RNA is filed under the name uncultured bacterium. RNAcentral's name for it is "bacterial SSU rRNA". It matches the Rfam family "Bacterial small subunit ribosomal RNA", at positions 338 to 793 of the family's 1533-position model. The record is from RNAcentral.
CCUACGGGGGGCAGCAGUGGGGAAUAUUGCACAAUGGGGGAAACCCUGAUGCAGCGACGCCGCGUGAGCGAAGAAGUAUUUCGGUAUGUAAAGCUCUAUCAGCAGGGAAGAAAAAUGACGGUACCUGAGUAAGAAGCACCGGCUAAAUACGUGCCAGCAGCCGCGGUAAUACGUAUGGUGCAAGCGUUAUCCGGAUUUACUGGGUGUAAAGGGAGCGCAGGCGGUGCGGCAAGUCUGAUGUGAAAGCCCGGGGCUCAACCCCGGGACUGCAUUGGAAACUACCGAACUAGAGUGUCGGAGAGGUAAGUGGAAUUCCUAGUGUAGCGGUGAAAUGCGUAGAUAUUAGGAGGAACACCAGUGGCGAAGGCGGCUUACUGGACGAUAACUGACGCUGAGGCUCGAAAGCGUGGGGAGCAAACAGGAUUAGAUACCCCAGUAG